RNAcentral lists this ribosomal RNA (468 nucleotides) under uncultured bacterium. RNAcentral's name for it is "partial 16S ribosomal RNA". It matches the Rfam family "Bacterial small subunit ribosomal RNA", at positions 28 to 507 of the family's 1533-position model. The record is from RNAcentral.
GAUGAACGCUGGCGGCGUGCUUAACACAUGCAAGUCGAACGGUGAACACGGAGCUUGCUCUGUGGGAUCAGUGGCGAACGGGUGAGUAACACGUGAGCAACCUGCCCCUGACUCUGGGAUAAGCGCUGGAACGGCGUCUAAUACUGGAUAUGUGACGUGACCGCAUGGUCUGCGUUUGGAAAGAUUUUUCGGUUGGGGAUGGGCUCGCGGCCUAUCAGCUUGUUGGUGAGGUAAUGGCUCACUAAGGCGUCGACGGGUAGCCGGCCUGAGAGGGUGACCGGCCACACUGGGACUGAGACACGGCCCAGACUCCUACGGGAGGCAGCAGUGGGGAAUAUUGCACAAUGGGCGCAAGCCUGAUGCAGCAACGCCGCGUGAGGGAUGACGGCCUUCGGGUUGUAAACCUCCUUUAGCAGGGAAGAAGCGAAAGUGACGGUACCUGCAGAAAAAGCGCCGGCUAACUACGUG